GCUUUGAAGUGUGGACGCCAGUCUGCAUGGAGCCGGCCUUGAAAUACCACCCUUUAAUGUUUGAUGUUCUAACGUGGACCCGUGAUCCGGGUUGCGGACAGUGUCUGGUGGGUAGUUUGACUGGGGCGGUCUCCUCCUAAAGAGUAACGGAGGAGCACGAAGGUUGGCUAAUCCUGGUCGGACAUCAGGAGGUUAGUGCAAUGGCAUAAGCCAGCUUGACUGCGAGCGUGACGGCGCGAGCAGGUGCGAAAGCAGGUCAUAGUGAUCCGGUGGUUCUGAAUGGAAGGGCCAUCGCUCAACGGAUAAAAGGUACUCCGGGGAUAACAGGCUGAUACCGCCCAAGAGUUCAUAUCGACGGCGGUGUUUGGCACCUCGAUGUCGGCUCAUCACAUCCUGGGGCUGAAGUAGGUCCCAAGGGUAUGGCUGUUCGCCAUUUAAAGUGGUACGCGAGCUGGGUUUAGAACGUCGUGAGACAGUUC
RNAcentral lists this ribosomal RNA (479 nucleotides) under Shigella sonnei. RNAcentral's name for it is "partial 23S ribosomal RNA". It matches the Rfam family "Bacterial large subunit ribosomal RNA", at positions 2154 to 2632 of the family's 2925-position model. Lineage: Bacteria; Pseudomonadati; Pseudomonadota; Gammaproteobacteria; Enterobacterales; Enterobacteriaceae. The record is from RNAcentral.